GGAGAGUUGGCAGAGCGGUCUAUUGCGGCAGUCUUGAAAACUGUUGAGGGUCACACCUCCUGGGGUUCGAAUCCCUAACUCUCCG
This 85-nucleotide transfer RNA is filed under the name Chitinophagaceae bacterium. RNAcentral describes it as "tRNA-Ser". It matches the Rfam family "tRNA". From Rfam's summary of the family: Transfer RNA (tRNA) molecules are approximately 80 nucleotides in length. Their secondary structure includes four short double-helical elements and three loops (D, anti-codon, and T loops). The record is from RNAcentral. Lineage: Bacteria; Pseudomonadati; Bacteroidota; Chitinophagia; Chitinophagales; Chitinophagaceae.